AACGAACGCUGGCGGCAGGCUUAACACAUGCAAGUCGAACGCCCCGCAAGGGGAGUGGCAGACGGGUGAGUAACGCGUGGGAAUCUACCUAGUUCUACGGAACAACACAGGGAAACUUGUGCUAAUACCGUAUACGCCCUACGGGGGAAAGAUUUAUCGGAAUUAGAUGAGCCCGCGUUGGAUUAGCUAGUUGGUGGGGUAAUGGCCUACCAAGGCGACGAUCCAUAGCUGGUCUGAGAGGAUGAUCAGCCACACUGGGACUGAGACACGGCCCAGACUCCUACGGGAGGCAGCAGUGGGGAAUAUUGGACAAUGGGCGAAAGCCUGAUCCAGCCAUGCCGCGUGAGUGAUGAAGGUCUUAGGAUUGUAAAGUUCUUUAGCCUGUGACGAUGAUGACGGUAACAGGAGAAUAAGCCCCGGCUAACUUCGUGCCAGCCGCCGCCGUAA
This 447-nucleotide ribosomal RNA is filed under the name uncultured bacterium. RNAcentral describes it as "partial 16S ribosomal RNA". It matches the Rfam family "Bacterial small subunit ribosomal RNA", at positions 29 to 523 of the family's 1533-position model. The record is from RNAcentral.